This is a long non-coding RNA of Hypomesus transpacificus, 440 nucleotides long. RefSeq lists it as uncharacterized. The record is from RefSeq and is a predicted model, not a curated record. The transcript is spliced from 2 exons. Lineage: Eukaryota; Metazoa; Chordata; Actinopteri; Osmeriformes; Osmeridae.
AAUUCCUUGGGCGCGGUAGUGCCACCAGACAGAAUUCCCGCUGCGCCAGUUGGACGAAGGAAAACGGGAGGAGAAACACGAGUUUGGUGUGCAGCUUGGAUUGUGUCCAUAAGCACCCCUAUCAGUGUUAUGCGCUUCACUUGCUAACAAACACGUUGAUGGACAAGGGAAGUAGUGAGACAUCCAAACCAUUCCUUGAGAAGACCUUGACAUGCCUGACUUUGUGACUAAUGCAUAGCAGAAUGUGAGCUCUUUAUAAAAAGGGUUUUGAAGUGUACAGUGUAUAUGCUGCAGUGUGUCUGUGUUUACCUUUGUUUGUGUGAAGGAAUGAGUUUGUUUAUGUUUGACUGACAAGGAAUGUUUUGCAUGAUGGAAACGGGAAUACAAUCCAAUAAAGUGGUGUUAAAGUCUGUUUGCAGGCUUGAUACUGUAUAUGAUUA